This 488-nucleotide ribosomal RNA is filed under the name uncultured bacterium. Its description in RNAcentral is "bacterial SSU rRNA". It matches the Rfam family "Bacterial small subunit ribosomal RNA", at positions 355 to 834 of the family's 1533-position model. The record is from RNAcentral.
UAGGGAAUAUUGCGCAAUGCCCGAAAGGGUGACGCAGCGACGCCGCGUGAGGGAUGAAGGCCUUCGGGUUGUAAACCUCUGCCACCCGGGAAGAACAUGCUGGGGGUGAAUAAUCCCUGGCGUUGACGUUACCGGGAAAGGAAGCACCGGCUAACUCUGUGCCAGCAGCUGCGGUAAUACAGAGGGUGCUAACGUUGCUCGGAUUCACUGGGCGUAAAGGGCACGUAGGUGGUCCGGUAACUCAGUCGUGGAAUCCCGCCGCUCACCGGUGGAAUUGCGACUGAAAAUGCCAGACUUGAGCGCAGGAGGGGUGAGGGGAACUCUAGGUGGAGCGGUGAAAUGCGUAGAUAUCUAGAGGAACGCCGGAGGCGAAAGCGCCUCACUGGCCUGCUGCUGACACUGAGGUGCGAAAGCCAGGGGAGCAAACGGGAUUAGAUACCCCGGUAGUCCUGGCUGUAAACGAUGCUCACUAAGUAGGGGGAAACCUG